GACGAACCGUCCUAACGUUGGUCGGAAUCACUGGGCUUAAAGGGCGCGUAGGCGGCCCAUCAAGUCCGGGGUGAAAGCCUCCAGCUUAACUGGAGAAGUGCCUCGGAUACUGGUGGGCUCGAGGGAGGUAGGGGCAACUGGAACUUCCGGUGGAGCGGUGAAAUGCGUUGAUAUCGGAAGGAACGCCGGUGGCGAAAGCGAGUUGCUGGAUCGCUUCUGACGCUGAGGCGCGAAAGCUAGGGGAGCAACCGGG
RNAcentral lists this ribosomal RNA (253 nucleotides) under uncultured bacterium. Its description in RNAcentral is "partial 16S ribosomal RNA". It matches the Rfam family "Bacterial small subunit ribosomal RNA", at positions 524 to 776 of the family's 1533-position model. The record is from RNAcentral.